Molecule: ribosomal RNA, 427 nt
Filed under: uncultured prokaryote
Description: bacterial SSU rRNA
Rfam family: Bacterial small subunit ribosomal RNA
Source: RNAcentral
UGGGGAAUAUUGCACAAUGGGGGAAACCCUGAUGCAGCCAUGCCGCGUGUGUGAAGAAGGCCUUCGGGUUGUAAAGCACUUUCAGUAGGGAGGAAGGGGCGAUGCCUAAUACGCAUUGUCAUUGACGUUACCUACAGAAGAAGCACCGGCUAACUCCGUGCCAGCAGCCGCGGUAAUACGGAGGGUGCAAGCGUUAAUCGGAAUAACUGGGCGUAAAGCGCACGCAGGCGGUUAGAUAAGUCAGAUGUGAAAUCCCCGGGCUCAACCUGGGAACUGCAUUUGAAACUGUCUGACUAGAGUCUUGUAGAGGGGGGUAGAAUUCCAGGUGUAGCGGUGAAAUGCGUAGAGAUCUGGAGGAAUACCGGUGGCGAAGGCGGCCCCCUGGACAAAGACUGACGCUCAGGUGCGAAAGCGUGGGGAGCAAACA